RNA transcript from Falco peregrinus (peregrine falcon), 13048 nucleotides. It is a transcript of the gene named myelin protein zero like 1, with no coding region annotated. The record is from RefSeq and is a predicted model, not a curated record. Lineage: Eukaryota; Metazoa; Chordata; Aves; Falconiformes; Falconidae. The transcript has 5 exons.
AGGCUUAAAUUUGCCUGUGUAAAAGACGGUUUCUAAAAUUCCCUACGGAGCAUGGGCUUUGCUUAAUUUUAAGCUCCGAUAAAAUAAUCUGAUUUAAGGCAAACCUACGUGUUAGGAUGGUCAUGUCACUCGAAGGAAGCUUGCUGUCUGACUUUGAAGGCUGCUGAGCUGGUAGCUCUCACUGACUAAAAGCAUGAACCCCAUGAUUUAAGGACUAAUGUAGGUUUGUUUGGUUGGGUUUUUUACCCUGUCUUUGUCUGGACUCGUUCUUUUCAGUUUGCCUACUUCAAGAGCUAGUUUGUUUGAGAAAUAAAUCAGCUAAGAUACUGAAGAAGCAGGAAGACUUGCUUUCCUCUUCAAAUAAGGGAGGAACCCCCCUGUAUUUAAGAUAUUGUAGCUCAGAAAUACAGAAUCAUGUGAUCAGAAGCAGAUUACUAGUACCGUCUCUGUGCUGAAACCUAUGGUUUAAUAAAACCCAAAACGUCACAUUUGAGUUACCGAGGGCACAUGGCGUAUGUGCAUCCAGCCACAGUGAUUUUACAAGAUUUUUGUUUUCACACGGAUGUGACACAAACGCUGAAAGACAUUGUUUUGUGAUGUCACAAGAUCAUGCCUUGCUUCUUAACAUAAACUUGAAUGAAUAUGCAGAUGUAUCUUUGCUUAAAUGUGGAUAGGGAUAGUGUCUUUGUGGUUUAAAGGGUGCCAGAUAAGCAAUAUGUUCAGCAGGUUUUCCAAAUCACACUGAAUUUCACUCAGUCUGUAGGAAAACUACCAGUACCAGCACAGUAUUCGCCUUGAUUACUUUAAUUCUGGGGGGUGGUUGUGGUCUGCUGUUUUGCCCAUGCGUAAGCCUCAUGGCAGAAGAAAACUUAAACUGCUGUCAUGUUUCUGAACUAUAGCUGAGUGAUUGUUUAUGAGGGCUUGCACAUGAGGACCUCGAAGGCUGCCAGAGAGCGGAUCAGAUGGCGUAGCUGGGAGCCAGAGAGCUUUACUCCUCAGCUUUCUGGAGGUGAACUUUUGUUCUACCUACAGCUGAGAAAAACUGGAGAUGGGAAACAAGAUGUGAGCCAGAGAGGAAACUGAGUAAUAGCCGAGUUCAAGAUGUUAGUUCCUCCGAUGGGGCUUGUUUAUUACAAUGGCUGCUGGCAGUAAUAGGAAAGAGUUUUAAACUCAUCCUUUGCACUAUAGAAUUGACUUCCACAGACUGUUGUAGAGGAAACCUCUGUGGAUGGAAAACAUCCUGUAACAGAUAAUGCAAGGAAAGAGAAGUGAACUGGCCUGCUCUGGUUUAUAUCGCAGGUACAAUGCAAUGUCUGUGCGCACUCUUGGUGUAGGAAUUGGUGGUGUCUUUUCCUCUUACAAGCAACGUGAUAUGAACUUCUUGAUUCUCGAAAUCUCGAAAUCAGCACUGAUGCCACUUGUUCUCCUUCUUUCUUCUCUUUACCUUUCCCAUACAGUUAAAGUAUCAGCAGUAGAGGUCAACACACCGGAGGAGAUAUUUGUGGAGAAUGGGACAGACGCAAAGCUUCCAUGCACAUUUACAUCUGUGGAAGUGAUCAGCAGCGCGGCAUCUGUUUCUUGGAGUUUUCAACCAGAGGGAGCUGCAACUCGUAUCUCAUUUUUCUAUUACUUUAAUGGAAAGCCAUACCCUGGAAAGGACAUACCAUUUAAGGACAGGAUCACUUGGGCUGGAGAUCUUAACAAGAAAGAUGCUUCAAUCAGUAUAUCAAACAUGCAGUUCCGGGACAACGGCACUUACAUUUGUGAUGUCAAGAACCCACCUGACAUUGUUGUCAAACCAGGAGAAAUACGAGUUAGAGUUGUGGAGAAAGACAGCCUGCCUGCGUUCCCCAUUGCCAUGGUGGCAGGGAUAGUCAUCGGUACGGUUACAGGUCUCUCACCGCUCAUCUCUAUUGUCGUGUGUCUUGUCAUCAGAAAGAACAACUCUAAAAAACGAUACUCUGGCUGCAGUACAUCUGAGAGCUUGAUGUCACCGGUUAAGCAGGCUCCGCAGAAGUCGCCCUCCGACACAGAGGGUCUGGUAAACAGCGUGCCCGCCAGAUCACACCAGGUAAACUGCUUCCUGCUGCUUCCCGAAGCAGGAUCCUCCCAGAGUGUUGGGGAUAUGGUAUGGAAAAGAUAAAGGCAGGGUGGGACACGUGAAUUAGGUUCUGUCUGUUGAGGUGAUGAGGGCGGGGGGGUAAAAGUGUGCUCUUCCAACAAGGGGUGGCCAGUAAGCUGGGGCUGGUGAGCUCUGCCGCAGAAGACUUAGUGCAAUUGAAAGAAUAGCAUCUUGGUGGUGGUGAGAUGCAAGUUCUUAUGCCCUUGUUGUACUAAUGUAUAAAAAAAGAUGGUUGUGAUCUUGUGCGUUAACACACACAAGUGGUAGCGAAGCGCGAGCCUGGCAAGGAUGAGCAGUGGACAGUGGGUAGCUGUUUAAUGUAGAGACAUUAUCUACUAGAUGCGUAUUCCCCCCCAUAAAGCUGCCUGAUGUGUUCUAGGAUGGUAACGGGAAGGAAUUCUACUUAGUCUCUCAUCACUGCGAAGGGUCAUCCUCUGUGUGGUGUGCUUCCACCACGCGGAAAGGCGCCAGCGCGAUGCAGACGCUGACAGUGAUGAUCACCUUCGAGAUGGCUCGUGCUGCUGAGAGCUCUCCUCUGCUGAGCCACCCAGCUUCUGGCUGCGGGCUUCAAAUUGCCCCACUUUGUCUUGUGCUUGCUGCUGUUGGCAAAGUUCUGCUGACUUGGAAGGAGAAGGGUGGCUCUUGUCCAGACUUAGCAUCCCAUGGGAAAUGAGUCAGAGGGGAGAGAGCAUGAGUCAGGCAGUUCUACCCAAUACACGGUUACCUGUUAACAGUGCACAGGAUUUCCUUAUUUUUGCAAGCUGUUUCUUACCUCUUGAUUUGUUUAUUCCCGGCAAUUUUCCUUGGAGCUAAGGAUCCUGAGUGAGUUUAAGUCCGAAGUGGAGUCUUUCUUAAUUAGCCACCUUUUAGUGAGCGGCUGCAGAGUAGUGUGUGAACUGAUGGGUUUCUAAAAUAGAGUUAAUACCUGGUUUCUUAAUUUUUCCUGACAAAUAAUGGAGAUGUGUGUUAAUGUUUUAACGCUACAGGAAAAAAAAUACAGUGCUAACAGCGAGCUGGAUAAAGUCCAAGUCCCUACUCUGAUGGGCUUCCAGACUGGUUUGGAAAUGCAUCUUGUUCUUGGCAGGUGCAAUAUUUCCAGAAUUUUAGCACAUAGGCCCACAAAGCUACCUACUGACUUCAGAGAACGGUUGUUCUCUGAACAUAAAGGCCAUUUACUCCUGCUGUAAGAUUUAAAAAUAGUUCAGGUUUUGACUGGAGUGGGUCUAGUAGCAGAAGGCUGCCUUUAAGGCUUAGAUAAAGCUUGUCUUUUCUAAUUCGUGCGAGGGGCUUCUAGAAUGGGUGAACGAGACAGGUGAUUCCUGCCUCUCCCCACACACCACCCCCCCCCCCAAAAAAAAAAGGAGGGGGGGAAUAAAAGAAAAAAAGGAAAAAACUUAAGUGUGGGAUGUAUGUUGCAGUAGCUGUUGGAGUCAACAAGCUGCAUAGAGGGAGGGUUUUGCUGUUCUGCACCUACAUCUUGAAAGCAAAAAUACUUUUUAUCUUCUCUGUAACGUUUUGGUGUGAAAAUUUGCUGUGUCUUCACCCCUCUGUGUCGCCAGUGUUCUGGGUCUUAGUGUACUAGAAGGAACAUGUUAGAGUAGAUCUAAACUUUGUAAAGAUAACUCAGAAUCAGCGUGCUUUUGCCCUUCUGUAGUCACUCCAGCCUGCUUACUCCUUGUCAGAGUCGUCCGGGGUCUUCCUGCAGCUAAGUUCCUAAAGGAAAACCCAAAGUGUGAAUACUCCUGACCACAAAGGAAAAACAUGGCAAGUGGCUUGAGUUUUGUUCAAGUUUUAGUUUCGUUUUUUAGGUUUUCAAUCUCUUUUGUUAGGCAAAGAGAGCUUUCUCUGGAUUUUCCUUUCUUGGCAAACGUUCGCAGUAGCAAGCGGUUCCCCUACCUUCUGUUGAGCAUUUGCCCCGUCUUUACAGACCAGCAAGUAAACAUACUUUCUUUUCUUUAAAAAGAUCUACAGUAAAAUCAGGGUAGAUCAGAUUGUGAACAGGUUGUUUAAAUUGGUGAGGAAACUAAAUUUCAAUAGAUCACAUUUCUGUUUUUAACUUCUAGACAUUGUUGUGUUUUUCUUUUUUAAAAAAAGGGUGAGAUCAACAUGCAAAUUAACAUAUUUGAAAUGAGGCAUCGCAUGUAAGCAAAAGCUGGUCGGUGUUUCCUGGUAACCAAGAAAUCAGUUGCAGUAUUCAAGCUUUUGAGCUGUUGUGUAGGUGAUACUCAGAUUCCUAGCAGGUGCCAGAAGCUGUUGCUGGCUGCUGGCAGGUUCAGGCACGCUGGUCUGGCUUUGCCGGGCAGUUUUAGACCGGUGGUUCACAGUCAGUGCUGCGGUCAGACCGUGAAGCCUGUGGAGUUCCUUGUAGCCUCUUAGUAGGAUAUGUAGGAAGCGACUAAACGCUUUGUGCUUCACUGGUGGAGAAGAACUGUGAAUACAAACACACAGCCCCUGCCUCUGUCAGUUAAAAACAGAGAUAGAGGCGUUUACUCGCAAUGAGUGGCAUUUAAAUUAAAUGUAUUAAAUUAAGCUUAUUCAUUUUGUUACUUAUGCAUCAGUUUGAGGGUCAGCGGGCAGGUGUUUGGGCAACCACUUCCCAGCUGAAAGUGCACCUGAGCCUGCCUGCUCUUCCUUUGUGGUUUGGGUGAGAGUUUAUCAAGCGUGGACCUGGCUUUCUGGAGUGCCUCGGAGUGCUGGAAGUGUGCAUCUCUGAUUCUCUGAAUGUUCAGCUGGUUGAUUCAACUCCACUUGUUCUCGCUGUGUCUUCCCUCUCAGCAGGUAUGUUCUGUCCUGUCAAAUGUCAGUGUGGUGUUUCUUCUCCAUGCCAUCGUUCUGUCGGGACCCUUAUUCUACCAUGACUUAUUUGGAUGAGUGAGAAAAGCAUUGCCAGCGAAGGCCAGAAUUGUGUGUGUUUCCCACAUGGAUGUCCUUGUUUAGCUAGUAAUCUGGUUGCAGCAGGCAAACCGGAGGGCAGGUGUGUGUUGUCCCCAGAUUCGCUAACUCCAAGGUGGCUGUCGUUUGUCUGUGUGCUGAGUAUUCAUUUCUGGGCAGGCUGAAGGACCACUGAUCUUACAGUGUGACCUCUGUAGCAGUGCAUUUCUGAUGUACAGAGCAGCAUGGUACAGAGAUUCUAAGCAGGUAGCUGUGUCGGCGUAGAAGCGGGGAGCACUAAAGUCGAGUUAACUUAUGUGCAGACCUCUGGCUUUGCUCAUUCUGGUUUACGACGUACCAGAACAGGCUAUGUUCAAGCUCUGUUCCAGGCUUUGAACUGGACCCCUAAGGAAGAGCAGUUCACGGUGCCAGAAAUCUUGAUUUAAAUUUCAGAUAAAUUUCCUGGACCUGGACUCUGUGAUAGUUGCAAUAUCUUUCAGAAUCUAAAAAAAUCUGAAAAUACUGUAGAACACUGUUAGACCAUGAUGGUCUAACUUUGUAAUUCCUUUUUCUUUGCUGUAACUUGCAGUUUGUGACUCUGCUGAUAAACCCUUAGCAAGGUGUUGGUACACGUGCUACUCUUCUUUUCCUUUCAGUUCUUAAUGGAAAGCACACAAGGCUUAGGUGAUGGAUGCUGGGUUUUAUACGGCAGUGCUGGUCUGUCUCCUGGUUCUGAAGAGUCAGGAUGAGCUUAUGUGGGAUUAGGGGAAAGCUCGGAAUUGGUUUUUUGAAGCUUUUAUUUGUCAGAGAAGGGUCUUUACAAAGAUUCAGGUCACUGGAGAUACCAAGUGCAGGGAAAAAAAUGGCCCUGAUGCUGAUUAGAAUCAGCUAGAAAUUCAGCUGGCAGCAAAUGAAAUAGAUGGCGCAUUGUAAUAAAUCCUUGGUCCUCCUUUUCUCUGUGUCAGCUAAUCUGCCAGUUAUUUAGGUGAUGGUGGACACACUGGGACAAUGAUAGCUUGGUUCGGAUCAGGCGAUCACACCAGUCAGUCUCUCCACCACCACCUAACAUGCUGGUUGCAGUAGAAUGACUGUAUUUAACUUGGCAAUAGAUUAGAAUAGUGAUAACUGAUCCUGAGUGAACUCCUGUGGUAGGAAAUUUCACUUCAACAAAACUUGAAAUGUCAUAGUAAGUACUUCAUGCAGCUGUAGAUUAAUUUUUUUUAUUAUUAAACUGAUAGGAAGUGCUCUCGAGCUGAAUUUAUCAUUCCCUUGACCUAUGGCCUCAGGUAGGUGAGACUUCCAAAAUUGCUUAUAAAUAAACCUUAGGGUCACUUUGCCUUGAAGUUUAUAUAGACACUCACUCUAAUUGUAAUUAGUAAUGUAAUCCUGAUACAGUAUUGGAGACCAGAACAACAUGAGUGGCAACAGUGGAAAAAGAAGAAGAAGUAGGAAAAAAAAAAAAAGGUGGCUCUAAUGAGACUUGAAAUCCAGAAUUUUCUAAGACAUCAGUGUCUCUUUUGAGCAUUUUCUCAGUCUGUUAUUUGUAUUUAUAUAAUAUAAUUGUAUUUAUGUAUUUAUAUAAUAUAUUUAUAUUUAGCGUUUUAUAUCUGCUGGCAAGUUUUCAUCUUUCUGUCCAUCUCCCUCUGCUUUUUAUCACUUGGCAAAUACUUGACCCGGAAGGGAAAAAAAAAUGGAUUUAAACUACUUCUGGAAGAGAACAAGGCUACGGUCCUGUCCUCAGCCCAUCUCGAAUGGCUGCAGUUUGCUUUCCUGGGGGCUGCGUGUUGGAGGACGUGGUGUUUUGGGAAGGUGCUGGCAUGUUUGCGUGCUCUGCUGAAAGAUGGUGCUGUAACGUCCUCCACACUGCACCCCAGCACACAGGACGAAAGCGUGUGGCCGUGCUUGCCCAGUGUGUCUGUGGAGGUGCUGGCUGCCUGGGGUGGCUUCCAAGUCAGGUAAGAAUUCUGCAUUACCGCACCAUUUCAGUGUUGUCUGGCUCGCUGCUGUGUCAGUAUCGAUCCCGUCGCUUGCUGGGGCGGUGACUGGUGUCGUGAGGUGGCGGCAGGUUUGUUCUCUCCCUCGUUAUCCGUGUGGUGCAGCUGUGGUGGGGUCUACAGGGCCUGAGUGGCAGUAUGGGAAGUUUACUUCCCAUAUUAAUAAGAUAAAUCUGUAGCACAGUUCUUGAAAAAUAUUCAGUCUGGCAUGCACCUGCCUAAGCCGUGUAUCUUCGCUGCAGAGCGUGUAAGAAUUGCUGCCGUUCAGAACAGAGGAGCCCAGAUUUUGCUUUUUGUGAGCAGCGAUCAGCCGUACCAGUGUUGAAGGGAGGCAGUGGUGCUGCUUGGCAUGGUCCUGACAGGAGAAAGGUGGCAGAGUAGAGCUCAUGUGUGGGUGAGGGGUUCAUUCCACCUGCUUCCAAGUGCCCUUUAGCAGUCAUAAAAGCUCUGUGGUCUUGCUUUAGCUUUGGUCUUGCUGCAGCCCCGGCGGAAGCAAGGGGCGAGAUGACCUCUUCUGAAAAAUACUGAUUGUGCUUUUUUUUUAUUCUGUUCCCAGGGCCCAGUCAUUUACGCGCAGUUAGAUCACUCCGGAGGACAGCACAGCGACAAGAUUAACAAGUCAGAGUCUGUGGUCUAUGCUGAUAUUCGGAAGAACUGAGAUGAGAACCUAAGCUAUCCAAAGGAAAACACACGUUCAGACUGGAAUUGCUUGAACAAGAUUUGACCCAGAGAACUCACAUGUGGCCUUUGAUGCCUAGGCUAGGACCAAUGCAUGUGCAUACAGAGGGAAAGAUAUAUAUGUAUUGUGUGUAAAUAGUCUAUUUAAUCGUACAGAAGUGAGACCAAUGUUGCAUGUUGAAAUGCGGUAAGAAUUUUGCUUAUAAAUUGCCAAUAUUCUUUUUUGUAUCUUGUGUGACGAGAGAGAAAGUGAAAACUCGCAUCACAAUUUUAAAAUAUUUUUAUCUUGAUUAUUAAUGGAGAAACUGGAAGAUGCCUGAAGAUUCUAGAUUGACCUGGAGAUUCUUUUUUUUUUUUCUUUUUCUGCUCAUAGGGCCUGAUUUCUUUUGUUGAGGUGAGCAUAAAGAAGACACCUUCUUUAUAUUCACAGGGUUCUUUAUGUAUACAGGGUAUUCAUCUUUCCUCGGUUGGAUUCUCAGUACAAGCUGCUUUCUCAUAUAAACUAGACACGCUCACUUGGUCUUGUAAGCCAGAUUGUGACUCCUAGCUGUCCGAAAUGUUUGUCUUAGCAGUGUAAGUGAAGGAAAUGUUUAGGCCUACCUGACCCGUGUAACACACGUCACAGAACAGUUUACUUCUAUAUUGAGCCUGUUUGUUCAAGCUCAGCCCUUUAAAGGUGCAGGGAUAGUUUGGGGCUAAUGAAUUUUGUGAAAUGGUAGUUUACCUGUGAAAAACUUAAGAGCUAGUGAGUUAAAGGGAUAGGAAGCUAUAGCUGUAGGUGUUUGCCUCAGACUCUCUUGAACCUUUCAGUGAAAUGUUUCUUCAUUGAAGCUCUGUCAUUUCAUAUAAGCAUGAAAAAGGGCUCUCAGAGAUCUGGAAGCUGUGGUAUUCCCUCACCUCUCUCCCCUGGCUCCAUUAUACCACUGUCACUUCCUUUAGAGAUGCUUUAUCUGUUCUUAAAAGCCUGUAGUGGAGGCUGAAUGACCUCUGGAGGAAAUCUGCGGCUACACUCUUUGUUGUUUUUUUUUGAUGUGUGGAUUUUUUGUGUAACCUAUAUUUGCACAGAGGAUGUGGAGGACAGUUUAUUUCCUUCCUCUCUGCAAGUCUCCUACUUGAAUAUAAUUUCCCAGCUUAUUGUUUCUAGAUUAAACUCUUCAUAGAUAGUUAAGGAUCUCCCAUCGUUGUCUUCUGCCGAGAGGAUCUUUCUUUAGCUGACCCAUUUGUAUCCUGAAAUGUGAUGCUCAAACCCAGAAGUGGCAUUCCAGCCGAGGUCUUCUCAGAGUAGCAUAUAGUAGAAGGAUUUCUUUUUUGUACAUCCUAAUGGGGUGUUGUUUUUUUGUAGCAGCAAGUAAUUUUCAGCUUGUUCUACCAUAACCCCUUCUUCCUGGUUCUUACCCAUUUCCUAGUUCAGUCUGUUUCACAGAAUCGGUCACAGAAUGGUUGAGGUUGGAUGGGACCUCUGGAGAUCAUCUAGUCCAACCCCCCCUCCUCAAGCGGGGUCAGCCAGAGCAGGCUGCCCAGCAGCUGUGCCCAGCUGGGUUUUGAGUACCUCCACGGACGGAAACUCUACAACGUCUCUGGGCAACCUGUUCCCCUGUUUGAUCACUUAGAGCGAUCAAACAGUAAAAAAAGGUGCUUCCUUGUGUUCAGAUGGAAUUUAGUUUUUUUAAAUUUCUGUCCUCCAUUGCCUCUUGCCCCACCAGUGAGCACUACUGACAAGAGUAGUGCUCUUUGUUCCCUCCCGUUGAGUAUUUAUACCCAUUGAUAUGGUCCCUCCCGAGCCUGCUUUUCUUCAGGCCGAACAGUCCCAGCUCUCUCAGCCUUUGCUCACACGAAAGAUGUUGCAGUUCAUCAUCUUCGUGACCCUGCACUGGGCUUGCUCCAGUAGCUCCAUAGCUUUCCUGUACUGGAGAGCCCAGACUGGACACAGUACUGCAGGUGCGGCCUCACCAGUGCUGAAUAAAGGGGAAGGCUCGCCUCCCUUGGCUUGCUGUCAGUCCUUUGCCUAAUGCAGCCCAGGAUACCAUUUGCCGCCUUUGCUGCAGGUGUACGCUGCUGGCUCACGUUCAACCUGGUGUCCACCAGGACGCCCACAGCGCCUUUUCCACAAAGCUGCUUUCCUGCUGGGCGGCUCCCAGCACGUACAUGGGGUUGUUCCUCCCCAGGCGUGGGCCUUUACACUUCUUGAAUUUCACAAAAUUCGUCUUAGCCCAAUUCUCCGGCCUGUACAGGUCCUUUGGAGCGGCAGCACAACCAUCUGGUGUGCCAGCAUCUCCUGCCGGUUUCGUAUUGUCUGCACAUUUGCCUCUGCUGAAAUUCUGUUAGGGCUUUUUAAGACCUCAGUUUCAAUUUGUCAGUUGAAAACUUGGUUGGAAUUCUCUGCCUGUCCCUCAGUGAGCUUGGAACACGCUUAGCUCGAUAGUUGUAAACUUAAGUCGACAUUCAACUGUAACAUCAAGUAAAUGAAAAGUAGUUUUAGGCCCAUGGCAGACCCUUUCAGAACCACAUAGGAUAAUCCUUUAAUUAAGACAGUGCAACUUUAAUAACUAUUUUGUGUACAGUGGGUUCCCCCCCGGCCCCCCCACGAAAGCUGGGUGUGCCAACACCAUGUUCUUCCGUCAGGGUCGGACCUCACUGGUUUCCUGACACCACCUGCCUUUGUUGGAAGCCUCGCUGAGGUCAGGAUGAAUGGUGCUGCUGCUGCUUCCCUUAUCUGCCAGGCUGCUACUGCCCAACAUUUGUUUUACACUUAGUAAGAAACAAACACUUUUGAGGUGGUUGAUGGAGAAACUCAGUUUUGAUCUGCCCGUGUUCAUCCCUGUGCGUCACUGUCUUUCUCCCCAGAUGUUUUAGAGAAAGAAGGAGAAAUGUGAUGAACAGAGCGAUCAAAAACUUGCUGCUAUGGGAAGAUAGGGCUGUCCUAGGCUCUGAAGUCUGCUACUAAUGUUUGUUUCUUUUCCUACUGGAAUAUACUGGAGAAUCUGAGCACAAUCCUGAUCUGGUGCUAAGAAACUAAGAAACCUGCUGAUUCGGUGCUAACUUCAAGGAACCUGCUGACUUUAGGAAACAUGCUGAUCUGCUGAUCUGGUGCUAACUUCAAGGAACCCACUGGCUUUAGGAAACGUGCCGAUCUAGUGAACUGGUGCUAACUUCAGGAGACAUCCUGAUCUGGCUGGUGCUAACUAACCUGAGGAAACAUCUUUCUUUGCUUUUGUUUAGCUGCAGGUAUGUUCGGAUUGCCUGUACCGAGGAGGCUCCUUGCAGGGCUGCUUGGAUCCUCUUUGUGAAGGCAGAAUGAACUUGGAAGUGUUUUUUUGAAAUGCUGAAUAUCUUUUUAGAAAGAAACAAACAUCCCCGCAGGAAUAACAGAAAUCAGUCUGAAUCCCUCCCCAGUGCAAAAGCUAUUGAAUUUUUUUUUUUUUUUUUUUCAUGGACAUGUGAACAAUGUAGCUGUUGAAUAACUUUACUCUGGUUGAAGUCAAAAGAACUUGAGGCAAUGUGAGGCAACAUUUGUGAACUUUCUGUCCCUCAGGUUAUCUUGGCUGGUUUCACCAGGCGAUAACAUGUGCUGAUGAAAGGGACUGGUGCGAUGUUGGCUUACUUAGUAAAGUCUCAGGAGACAGGACUUCUGCUUCCUUGAUGGGUGGCAGGUGGAGAUUAAAGCCAGACAAGGUCAUCAUAUCCUGACGUUAUGGUGACCAGGUUAACUGCUCUACGGCUGUUCUCUUCAUUCUCCGACGCUGUUCUUUGCAGGUGGAAAGGAGCAGCUUGGCCUUUGAGGAGCACUAAGUGUGUUGUCCUGUCGUAGUACUUUUUCAGGGCCACCUAUUUUGAGAAGAAGUGCUGCGUGGCAGGCUUACUGCAGCAGAGCUGAGGAGCAGGCAGCCUCUCCAGGCAGUAGCAAAUGACCAAAACUGUACACGGGCCAUCGCUCUCGGAUGGCAGAGCUGGGGAAGGUGUGUGUGAUGUUGAAAGGCUUGAAGUGGAUUCUCUUUUAUUCACCAUGCAAACAAAACUGGGAUCAGUCUGAAAGCCAUUUCUGAGCUGAGGGGGAUGGGAAAAAGGUAUUUUAUGAGUAAAAGCCAUGUUUUGUGGGAAUGCCGGAUGGCCAGCCUGGGCUGUGGCAGCUAAGCCAGCUGGCACCCCUAGGGCCAGGGCAUCGGUCACCUUCCCUGUUAACAGAACUGCCAAGUCGAGAAGUUUUGGCUUUUUACUAACAGUGCAUAUAUUCUUCCUUCGUUUUGAUUAACAGAAAUGAAUUUUGAGAAGAGGAUUACAAAUAAUUAUAAAGUAUCGAUCUGAGUAAAUUGGUAGCUGUACUCAGUACAUCAAAUCUCAGUUGCCCCUUUUGACUUCAGCAGUUGUUCAGAGAGGGAGGUGGUUGGCAUGUUCGUGAAAUGGCAGUAAGAGCUAUUACAGGGUGGCACAUAUGUCCCUGUAACUAAUUGAAUGAUUUCUCAUUUAUAACCAGAGACCUGUAGGGUUUUGUUUUCUCUCAAAGCUUUAGUGAUAUUUUGUGACUAGAAGAGCUGGAAUUAGGUUUUUAAUUUUUUUAACCUGUGAGAACUGUUUAGGUAACCAUCUGUCUUGUAACUGCAGUAAAUGUCUAUAUGUGACUUGGAAGCUGCAUUGCCUUAGAGUAAAUUCAUUGAGGUCAAGCGUGGGCUGUUUGAUUUAUAACCAAAACACCUUCACUCUGUAUUGAAAUCUUGUCUUGGAAAUUUACAUUAUUAAUGUGUCUACCUAGGACCUCAAAUACAAAAUGUUCUUAUUGUAUAGUAGGUGAUGGGAAUAUUUUCUCUUUAAAACCAUCGAAGCUGAGAAGGUGGGUAAGGCUUCUGGGCUGUGGCCGCACCCCUGCAGCACUAGUAUUUAGGUAGUUUUUAUACGGGAGACUACAAAAUCAUAUUAACUAUGCUCAGCAAUUAUACUCCUCUUAAGGCUUCUCUUUCCCUUCUCUUCACUGCCCUACAGCUAAUAAGCCCUUUCAGUUAACGGUAUUUUUGCACUCUUAAAAUGUAAGUUCAAUGCCUUCAGAGAUCGAUGUGUGCUGUGCAAUCUUUUCUGCCUCCCUGCGACGCCAGCUGGUUUUAUGUGGUAAAUGUAGUCGGAACGAUGGACUGGGUACUGCUCUUUUGUAAACCUCAGUCUCGGAGGUACGCAAGAGAGCAAACACUUGUAAGACAGGUGUAUAAUCUGUGUGAGGGAGCUAGAUAUGCAUUGCAUGGCCUGACUACGUGAAGAGCCAGUGUACCAACUGUUACUGCUUUUGCUUUUACAGACUCAUCUGGAAACAGUUAUCUUGGAUAUUUUUUCUUGAAUGGACUUUCAUGUUUUCUAUUGUAAUCUUGUGAAUAUUUUAAUACACUCCCCCACCCCCUCA